RNAcentral lists this ribosomal RNA (580 nucleotides) under Symbiotaphrina kochii. Its description in RNAcentral is "eukaryotic LSU rRNA". It matches the Rfam family "Eukaryotic large subunit ribosomal RNA", at positions 40 to 635 of the family's 3401-position model. Lineage: Eukaryota; Fungi; Ascomycota; Symbiotaphrinales; Symbiotaphrinaceae. The record is from RNAcentral.
AUAUCAAUAAGCGGAGGAAAAGAAACCAACAGGGAUUGCCUCAGUAACGGCGAGUGAAGCGGCAACAGCUCAAAUUUGAAAUCUGGCUCUUUCAGGGUCCGAGUUGUAAUUUGUAGAGGAUGCUUCGGAAUGGCCCCGGUCUAAGUUCCUUGGAACAGGAUGUCAUAGAGGGUGAGAAUCCCGUAUGCGACCGGGUCGCCGGCCCAUGUGAAGCUCCUUCGACGAGUCGAGUUGUUUGGGAAUGCAGCUCUAAGUGGGUGGUAUAUUUCAUCUAAAGCUAAAUAUUGGCCAGAGACCGAUAGCGCACAAGUAGAGUGAUCGAAAGAUGAAAAGCACUUUGGAAAGAGAGUUAAACAGUACGUGAAAUUGUUGAAAGGGAAGCGUUUGCGACCAGACUUGACCGCAGUUGCUCAGCCGUGGUUCUCCACGGUGCACUCUCCUGCGGUCAGGCCAGCAUCGGUUUGGGCGGCUGGAUAAAGGUCGGGGGAAUGUAGCUCUCUUCGGAGAGAACUUAUAGCCCUCGACGCCAUGCGGCCUGCCUGGACCGAGGACCGCGCUUCGGCUAGGAUGCUGGCGUAAU